Molecule: long non-coding RNA, 526 nt
Organism: Cucumis melo (muskmelon)
Lineage: Eukaryota; Viridiplantae; Streptophyta; Magnoliopsida; Cucurbitales; Cucurbitaceae
Exons: 2
Source: RefSeq, a predicted model, not a curated record
AUAAACUACAAACCCAAACAAUCUCAAAAUCUCGACAUUUAUAUAAAUCCAACAUCUCCCUAACCAAUAAGCUCAUCAUACACAGCUUUAACAUAUCUUUCGUUAUUAAAAUUAUUCAAACCAAAGAUGUCCGACGAUUGCAAAGGCAAGAGCUCUUGGCCGGAGUUGGUUUUAGUUUCGGGUAACAUAGCUGAAAAGAUUAUUGAAAAAGAGAACCAUUAUGUUAAUGCGAUCAUUGUUGAGCAAGGAAAAUUUGUUACACAAGAUUUCAGGUGUGAUAGGGUUUGGGUUUGGGUCGAUAAGUACACCCGCAUUGUUGUUAAGACUCCCAUAAUUGGUUAAGUUAUAUAUUAGUGAGACAUGUGUAUGUAUAUGUCUCCGAAUUAAACGUUAAAUGUUAUGAAAAUAAGAAAGGAAAAUGUAGUUUCCUUAUGUUUGUGUUAUGUAAUCUAAAAUAAAGUUUAUGUGCAUGGCCUACGUAUGAAUUUGUUUUUGUAAUCUAUUAUAUUCCUUUGACUUUGUUGCA